UCUUCACACAUUCAGAGCCAACAAUUCCCAA
RNAcentral lists this non-coding RNA (31 nucleotides) under Mus musculus (house mouse). The record is from RNAcentral. RNAcentral also lists the same sequence under 1 other name. Lineage: Eukaryota; Metazoa; Chordata; Mammalia; Rodentia; Muridae.